AGCGAACAGACGAGGAGCUUACUCCUCUGACGUUAGCGGCGGACGGGUGAGUAACACGUGGAUAACCUACCUAUAAGAUUGGGAUAACUUCGGGAAACCGGAGCUAAUACCGGAUAAUAUAUUGAACCGCAUGGUUCAAUAGUGAAAGACGGUUUUGCUGUCACUUAUAGAUGGAUCCGCGCCGCAUUAGCUAGUUGGUAAGGUAACAGCUUACCAAGGCAACGAUGCGUAGCCGACCUGAGAGGGUGAUCGGCCACACUGGAACUGAGACACGGUCCAGACUCCUACGGGAGGCAGCAGUAGGGAAUCUUCCGCAAUGGGCGAAAGCCUGACGGAGCAACGCCGCGUGAGUGAUGAAGGUCUUCGGAUCGUAAAACUCUGUUAUUAGGGAAGAACAAAUGUGUAAGUAACUAUGCACGUCUUGACGGUACCUAAUCAGAAAGCCACGGCUAACUACGUGCCAGCAGCCGCGGUAAUACGUAGGUGGCAAGCGUUAUCCGGAAUUAUUGGGCGUAAAGCGCGCGUAGGCGGUUUUUUAAGUCUGAUGUGAAAGCCCACGGCUCAACCGUGGAGGGUCAUUGGAAACUGGAAAACUUGAGUGCAGAAGAGGAAAGUGGAAUUCCAUGUGUAGCGGUGAAAUGCGCAGAGAUAUGGAGGAACACCAGUGGCGAAGCGACUUUCUGGUCUGUAACUGACGCUGAUGUGCGAAAGCGUGGGAUCAAACAGGAUUAGAUACCCUGGU
Molecule: ribosomal RNA, 742 nt
Filed under: uncultured Staphylococcus sp.
Lineage: Bacteria; Bacillati; Bacillota; Bacilli; Caryophanales; Staphylococcaceae
Description: bacterial SSU rRNA
Rfam family: Bacterial small subunit ribosomal RNA
Source: RNAcentral